GUAUUUUGCAUUAUAAGCAGUCAACCUGACUACAAACUAUCAUUAUUUGUAUUCCGUGUGGAAAGAGGUCGGGUCAAUUUCGAGUGUUAUCUGACAUCUAAAGAUUCUUUAAUUAGUUCAGACGUUGAUAUAACAAUGAAAAGUCGACUGAACAUGAUUAAUAUUGCAUCUUCUAUAAUUCAAAGCGGAAUUCGGUUUAUGAACGAGAAACCGUAAAGCGUUUUCAAUUUCGGUAUUAGUUAUGUAUGUUGUCUACGUAUUAUCCUGGUUCCCGGUACUACGUUCCGGGUAUUAGCUAUUUGAUAUACUUGAUGUGUAACAUUACGAUCAGGUACCAGCCAAUCUACGUGUGUAUGUGUACAUGAUUUCCCGCCAAAAUGACCGACUUACAGCUAUGAGAAAAUAGUCCAUAAACGUUCCGUAUAAUGAUAUGCAAAUUCAUAAUUAAUCGUAACUUUUUUUUAUCUUUGUAUAAUAAAUAUAACAAAAUGGAUUCCACAAAAUUGAAAAUAGCAUUAUUUUACGAGGAUUUCUAAUAUUUUUUUCUCACUUCCGGGCGCAGUAAUACGUAUGUUUUGAAGAAGCUCGAAGAAAUUUGACAAAGUGAAUUGAGAAGGAAACGGAUAGAUAUACGUCCUUGCUAUCAGGUAAAACAAUUUAAAUGUACAGAACAAACACAUUUACUUCACACAAAUAGUACAGGCUUAAGCUUUUUAUUGUCUUAUACACGACUGUAGUCUAGUGUUUAAACGACGGCGGUGACCUACAAGGUACGGGUCAUACUGGGUCAAGUCUAAAUAUGUAAACAUAUCCACGUGCUAUUAGGUAGAAAGCAUCGUAAUGCAAUAUCUACAAUUUUUCCUCCUUUAUACAUCGUUUAACCAGUUAUAUUUCUCCUUUAUACAUCGUUUAACCAGAUAUAUUUCUCUUUCAAAUACACUUAAACACGGG
RNAcentral lists this long non-coding RNA (951 nucleotides) under Mytilus galloprovincialis (Mediterranean mussel). Lineage: Eukaryota; Metazoa; Mollusca; Bivalvia; Mytilida; Mytilidae. The record is from RNAcentral.